UACGUAGGGGGCAAGCGUUGUCCGGAUUUAUUGGGCGUAAAGAGCGUGUAGGCGGCCAUGCAGGUCCGUUGUGAAAACUCGAGGCUCAACCUCGAGACGCCGGUGGAAACCGUGUGGCUAGAGUCCGGAAGAGGAGAGUGGAAUUCCUGGUGUAGCGGUGAAAUGCGCAGAUAUCAGGAGGAACACCAAUUGCGAAGGCAGCUCGCUGGGACGUUACUGACGCUGAGACGCGAAAGCGUGGGGAGCAAACAGG
This 253-nucleotide ribosomal RNA is filed under the name uncultured bacterium. RNAcentral describes it as "partial 16S ribosomal RNA". It matches the Rfam family "Bacterial small subunit ribosomal RNA", at positions 524 to 776 of the family's 1533-position model. The record is from RNAcentral.